AUUGCUUCCUGCAUAAAAUCAUUUAUCCUUUUUUUUUUUAAAGGAUAAAUUGUACUUCAUCCUCUAUAUGUAGCUCGAUUGGGAUUUGUCACAAUGCAUAAAUAUCAUCAUUUUGCCUCACUAGUCUAUUAAUUUUCUGUCAGAUCAUAUUUGAGUUGGCAUGUUUGCUUCCGAUGAGUCCAUUUUUUAAUACUCACCAUUCAACUUAUAAGUGUUAUGAAUUUCUCCUCCACUCUGUUUUGUUUUUUUGUCCUGUUUAGUUAAUCACUAAAUUUAAAUUGGGCCUAAAAUUUAACCGUCGGUUCUGAUCGAUACACAUGUAUCGAAUGUAUUUAAUUUGAUUGGAAAUUAGUAAAUUAUAGGAUAAUCUGAUUAUUUUUGUAAGAUGAGGAGAAACUCUAAAUUCAGUGAUCGUCAAGGGGUUAAAAUUGUAGAUUUUCUUUUUCUCUGGGUUUAUCAUCUGAACAGUUGUCUUUUUCUGGAAGAAUAAGUGGGGAGUAAAUGUAAAAAGUAUUAAACAGAACCUGGAGAUCCUGAAGCUGUGGAAAAUAGCCCCAUUAAUGAGUUUUAAACUAUUGAAACUUUUUAGUGGGGGCAAGGAAUCUGUAUCCCGGUUAGUUGACAUUUGACACCAUGCUUGCAGCAAAUGUAGAAACAAAAUGCAACCUUAGAUGGGGCCUUUCUGCCGCCAAGACCUUCUCUUUGAUGACCUACAUUUUAUACUAAUUUUCUUCCUACAGUAUCCCCCCGUAGAAUCUGAGCCACUUUGUAGAAGUGCUUGUCUGAAUAAUUACACAAAAUGUGUGCUGAAAACAUGUACCAGGAGCAAGUUUAUUAUUAUCAUGUUCUGCUGAAGUGUCCUGAAGAACGGCAAAUAUAAUAGGAAACUGCUAGUUGUUGUACUACUGAUUUUAUCUAGUUCCCUUUUAAUUGUUUCUAAGUUAUGCAUCUA
Long non-coding RNA from Ziziphus jujuba (common jujube), 952 nucleotides. RefSeq lists it as uncharacterized. The record is from RefSeq and is a predicted model, not a curated record. NCBI's taxonomy places the organism in Eukaryota, Viridiplantae, Streptophyta, Magnoliopsida, Rosales, Rhamnaceae. The transcript is spliced from 2 exons.